UAUUCUGCCAUUUAAGUCCAUCAACCUCCAGGCUAUAAAAGAAAGAGCUAAAGACUCUUUAAGAAGAUUGGCAGAGAAGACCCGUGGGCAAAGAGAUGUCAGAGGACUGAGCUUCCUCCUCUCAGCAGGGGUCCUGUGUCCCCCCCCCCCAUCACUCACUUCAAGAGUGGGCAGGUCCAGCUUCCACAGAGAGCUUGGCCUGAGCCCCUGAAGUCUAGGGGACACACUGACAGAAGGGACCUUGGGAAGAGAGCAGGGCGUGCGGCAUCUGGAGGGAACCCCAUCCAAGAGCUUCAUCUGCCUGGGCUGGGAGACCUCAACAGAAAGGCCCUGUGCCAGGGGCACUGCCAGAAACACAGCAGAGGACGGCGCCAGACAAAGGCACAGUAGGAGGGUCCCUCAUGGGGGAGAUGCUCCAAGUAGCCCAGAUGUGCCCCACAUCACAUGGGCAUCUGCUCAGCCAGCAGGCACCAGCCCAAACCACAAACUGAGCCGACUUUAGGGACUUCCCUGGUGGUCCAGUGGUUAAGAAUCCGUCUUCCAAUGCGCGGGACGCAGGUUCGAUCCCUGGUUGGGUAACUAAGAUCCCACAUGCCACGGGCAACGAAGCUGGCGCGCUGCAACUAGAGAGAAGCCCGCGCACCGCGAGGAAGAGCCAGCAUGCUGCAACUAAGACCCUACACAGCCAAAAAUAAAGUAAAUAAAUAAAUAAAUGUUUUUUUAAAAAAGACUUUAGUUUUUACAGCAGUUUUGUUCACUGCGAAACUGAGAGGAAGGUACAGAGAUGUCCUAUGAAGUAUCCCCUGCCACCACACGUGCAUAGCUUUCCCCUUUCUUAACAUCCCUCACCAGAGUGAGGCCUUUGCUACAACUGAUAAGCCUACAUUGAUGUAACACCCAAGGUCCAUAGUGUACACUAGGGUUCACACUUGGUAUUGUAUAUUCUAUGUGUUUGGGGAAAUGUAUAAUGACAC
This is a long non-coding RNA of Physeter macrocephalus (sperm whale), 974 nucleotides long. RefSeq lists it as uncharacterized. The transcript is spliced from 3 exons. Lineage: Eukaryota; Metazoa; Chordata; Mammalia; Artiodactyla; Physeteridae. The record is from RefSeq and is a predicted model, not a curated record.